Molecule: ribosomal RNA, 422 nt
Filed under: Clostridioides difficile
Lineage: Bacteria; Bacillati; Bacillota; Clostridia; Peptostreptococcales; Peptostreptococcaceae
Description: bacterial SSU rRNA
Rfam family: Bacterial small subunit ribosomal RNA
Source: RNAcentral
UCCUACGGGAGGCAGCAGUGGGGAAUAUUGCACAAUGGGCGAAAGCCUGAUGCAGCAACGCCGCGUGAGUGAUGAAGGCCUUCGGGUCGUAAAACUCUGUCCUCAAGGAAGAUAAUGACGGUACUUGAGGAGGAAGCCCCGGCUAACUACGUGCCAGCAGCCGCGGUAAUACGUAGGGGGCUAGCGUUAUCCGGAUUUACUGGGCGUAAAGGGUGCGUAGGCGGUCUUUCAAGGCAGGAGUGAAAGGCUACGGCUCAACCGUAGUAAGCGCUUGAAACUGGGAGACUUGAGUGCAGGAGAGGAGAGUGGAAUUCCUAGUGUAGCGGUGAAAUGCGUAGAUAUUAGGAGGAACACCAGUUGCGAAGGCGGCUCUCUGGACGGUAACUGACGCUGAGGCACGAAAGCGUGGGGAGCAAACAGGA